This is a non-coding RNA of Podarcis lilfordi (Lilford's wall lizard), 74 nucleotides long. NCBI's taxonomy places the organism in Eukaryota, Metazoa, Chordata, Lepidosauria, Squamata, Lacertidae. The record is from the annotation of a GenBank genome assembly.
GAGCUCCCUCCUGCAGUCGGUAGAGCCUGAGACUCUUAAUCUCAGGAUUGUGGGUUUGAGCCCCAUGUUGGGCA